GCCUCCUUAGCUCAGUCGGUUAGAGCGUCGUGCUAAUAACGCGAAGGUCGUAGGUUCGAUCCCUGCAGGAGGCA
This 74-nucleotide transfer RNA is filed under the name Spiromyces aspiralis. Its description in RNAcentral is "tRNA-Ile". It matches the Rfam family "tRNA". Rfam says of the family: Transfer RNA (tRNA) molecules are approximately 80 nucleotides in length. The record is from RNAcentral. Lineage: Eukaryota; Fungi; Kickxellomycota; Kickxellomycetes; Kickxellales; Kickxellaceae.